Long non-coding RNA from Cyprinus carpio (common carp), 1595 nucleotides. NCBI's taxonomy places the organism in Eukaryota, Metazoa, Chordata, Actinopteri, Cypriniformes, Cyprinidae. The record is from Ensembl.
UGGCUAACCGUGGCUAACAAACCACUCUGAUGGGCGACACAGAUAAACAGAGUCAGGAAGAGAUGGAGGAUGACGGCUGUGUGACAACAGCCUCCAGCAGCACUGCACCCACCACCAGUGCCACGCCAGUGAGCUCUACACCCAGAUCCAACACUCCCACAGGCACUCAGCCCAGCGGCAUUCCUCUGGGAAACAUCACUUCAGACAGGCAGGCGGUCCAGGUAAUCCAGCAGACACUACACAGACCACAGAGCAUGACAGCUCAGUACCUACAAUAGAUGUAUGCGGCCCAACAACAGCAUAUCCUGCUGCAGACGGCUGCACUACAACAGCAGCAUCAACAGAACCUCACGGCUACACAAAUCCUGACCACUACAGAGCAGGCCACACAGACUAAUGGCAGGCAGCCCACCUCCUCCCCUCCAUCAUCCAAUGGGAAUGUAACUCAGCUGGCUAGUAUGUCUCAAACAUCAGUAAGUGCUUUUGUUCUUUAUACACUUUUGUCACAAACCCACUUUUGUUUCACAAAGAUGAACUAUGUGCUCUCAUUUGGACACUAUGUUGGAAUAUUAGCAAAUAGUUUCAGGCUUUAUCCAAACAUUUAAAGGGAUACUACAAUUCUGUCAUCAUUUACUCACCCUCAUGAUGUUCCAAACAUGUGUGAGUUCCUCUCUUCCGUUGAACUCAAAAAAUAUAUUUUGGAAAAUGUUGGUCACCAAACAGUUGAUGGAAACCAUUGACUUCCACAGUAUUUCCUUUUUUCCAUAGUGUGAGAGUCAAUGACUACCAUCAACGGUUUGGUUAUUAAUACUUUUGAAAUAUAUUUAUUUUUGUAUUCAACAGAAAAAAAUUAAUUCAUACAGGUUUAGAAUGACUUGGGUAAAUGAUGACAGAAUUUUCAUUUUUAGUUGAAAUAGCCCCUUAAGAUUUGAUCAAAGAUGAAUUACACAGGAAAACACCUCUCACCCUCUAGAUCAGUGGUUUUCAAACCCUCCAUGAUGUACCCCCAGUACUGCACAUUUUGUAUGUCUCCCUAUAUCUGACACACCCACUUCAGGUCUUGCAGUCUCCACUAAUGAGCUGAUGAGUUGAAUCAGGUGUGAUAGAUGAGGGAGACAUACAGAAUGUGCAGGGCUGGGGGUACUCCAGGACAGGUUUGAGAACCACUGCUCUAGAUCACCAUGCCAACCUCUCCUGUAACUUCCUGUGUCUUCUUUCUUCCUAUUGUCGUGUCAUUGUCUCUUAACCUGUAGCUGAUUCUUACUCCUGCUGCCACUGUAGCUGCUGUUCAACCUGAUCUGACGGUCGUAAGUUCAGUGUCCUCUCAAUCAGCAUCAUCACAGGUAAGACAGAGUUUUUUUAGUCAAUUUAUGGGACUUUUUUUAAGAAAUGGUGCCAUUUGGGGUCAUAUUUAUUUACGCAUUUAAUUAUCAGAAUCAGAAUCAGAAAGAGCUUUAUUGCCAAGUAUGCUUACGCAUACACGGAAUUUGUUUUAGUGACAUAAGCUUCCAGUACACAGAGACAACAACAAAAAACAAAAAAACAAAAAACAAAUUGCAAAUAAAUAAAUUGUAUGAACAGUUGUGCUAUAGAUG